This 240-nucleotide long non-coding RNA is filed under the name Mytilus galloprovincialis (Mediterranean mussel). The record is from RNAcentral. Lineage: Eukaryota; Metazoa; Mollusca; Bivalvia; Mytilida; Mytilidae.
CAACAAUACUACUUGCUGUUCAUUAGUUUAAAGGUUUUAAGACUAAAAUUAUAAAAAGAAAAAAACAAAUGAAAAAUGGGGUGUACUUUAAACAAAUGAUUAAGCUUCAGACUGCCAGAUGUUACUAAGAAGAUCAUACAUGCAUUUUCUUUCUUUGUUAGUGUGGGGUUGUUGUUUUUAAAAGAAAAAGAAAACAAAUAAGGAAAUUUAUGCUAUAAUGAUAGUUUUAUACUCAAUCAG